AACCGGAGCCGCAGCGAAAGCGAGUCUGAAAUGGGCGUAUGAAGUACGUAGUUAUGUACCCGAAACCAGGUGACCUACCCAUGUCCAGGGUGAAGGUGCGGUAAAACGCACUGGAGGCCCGAACCCGUGUCUGUUGAAAAAGGCUGGGAUGAGGUGUGGGUAGCGGUGAAAUUCCAAACGAACUUGGAGAUAGCUGGUUCUCUCCGAAAUCUCUUUAGGGGGAGCCUCGGAAUCGAGAAUCUUGGAGGUAGAGCACUGUUUGGACGAGGGGCCCGUCAUGGGUUACCGACUUCAGAUAAACUCCGAAUGCCAAUGAUUUAUGUCCGGGAGUCAGACGAUGAGUGAUAAGAUCCACCGUCGAAAGGGGAACAGCCCAGAUCACCAGUUAAGGUCCCUAAAUAUAUGCUAAGUGGAAAAGGAUGUGGAGUUGCAUAGACAACUAGGAUGUUGGCUCAGAAGCAGCCAUCAUUUAAAGAGUGCGUAAUAGCUCACUAGUCGAGUGAUUCUGCGCCGAAAAUGUACCGGGGCUAAGCAUAUUACCGAAACUGUGGAUGUGUCCUUUUGGACACGUGAUAGGAGAGCGUUCUAAGGGCGACGAAGUUAGACCGUGAGGACUAGUGGAGCGCUUAGAAGUGAGAAUGCCGGUAUGAGUAGCGAAAGACAGGUGAGAAUCCUGUCCACCGAAUGACUAAGGUUUCCUGGGGAAGGCUCGUCCUCCCAGGGUAAGUCGGGACCUAAGGCGAGGCCGAGAGGCGUAGUCGAUGGAUAACAGGUUGAGAUUCCUGUACCAGUUAAAUGCGUUUGAAUGAUGGAGGGACGCAGGAGGCUAAGCAAACCAGACGAUUGGAAGUGUCUGGCCAAGCAGUAAGUCAGGUUUAGAGUCAAAUGCUUUAAGCCGGGUUGACAAGCUGUGAUGGGGAGCGAAAUUAAAGUAGCGAAGUUGCCGAUGUCACACUGCCGAGAAAAGCUUCUAGUGAGUAUUUAACUGCCCGUACCGCAAACCGACACAGGUAGUCGAGGAGAGAAUCCUAAGGUGAGCGAGUGAACUCUCGUUAAGGAACUCGGCAAAAUGACCCCGUAACUUCGGGAGAAGGGGUGCUGGUCGCAAGACCAGCCGCAGUGAAAAGGCCCAGGCGACUGUUUAUCAAAAACACAGGUUUCUGCAAAAUCGUAAGAUGAAGUAUAGGGGCUGACGCCUGCCCGGUGCUGGAAGGUUAAAAGGAAGAGUUAGCUUCGGCGAAGCCCUGAAUUGAAGCCCCAGUAAACGGCGGCCGUAACUAUAACGGUCCUAAGGUAGCGAAAUUCCUUGUCGGGUAAGUUCCGACCCGCACGAAAGGCGUAACGAUCUGGGCACUGUCUCAACGAGAGACUCGGUGAAAUUGAAUUGCCUGUGAAGAUGCAGGCUACCCGCGACAGGACGGAAAGACCCCAUGGAGCUUUACUGUAGCUUGAUAUUGAGUGUUUGUACUACUUGUACAGGAUAGGUAGGAGCCGUAGAAACCGGGACGCUAGUUUCGGUGGAGGCAUUGGUGGGAUACUACCCUUGUAUUAUGACCACUCUAACCCGCACCACUGAUCGUGGUGGGAGACAGUGUCAGGUGGGCAGUUUGACUGGGGCGGUCGCCUCCCAAAAGGUAACGGAGGCGCCCAAAGGUUCGCUCAGAAUGGUUGGAAAUCAUUCGCAGAGUGUAAAGGCACAAGCGAGCUUGACUGCGAGACAGACAGGUCGAGCAGGGACGAAAGUCGGGCUUAGUGAUCCGGUGGUUCCGCAUGGAAGGGCCAUCGCUCAACGGAUAAAAGCUACCCUGGGGAUAACAGGCUUAUCUCCCCCAAGAGUCCACAUCGACGGGGAGGUUUGGCACCUCGAUGUCGGCUCAUCGCAUCCUGGGGCUGUAGUCGGUCCCAAGGGUUGGGCUGUUCGCCCAUUAAAGCGGUACGCGAGCUGGGUUCAGAACGUCGUGAGACAGUUCGGUCCCUAUCCGUCGCGGGCGUAGGAAAUUUGAGAGGACCUGUCCUUAGUACGAGAGGACCGGGAUGGACAUACCGCUGGUGUACCAGUUGUUCCGCCAGGAGCAUCGCUGGGUAGCUAUGUAUGGAUGAGAUAAACGCUGAAAGCAUCUAAGUGUGAAACUCGCCUCAAGAUGAGAUUUCCCAUUCCUUUGGAAGUAAGACCCCACAGAGAUGAUGUGGUAGAUAGGAUGGAAGUGGAAGUGCGGUGACGCAUGGAGCGGACCAUUACUAAUCGGUCGAGGACUUAACCAAG
RNAcentral lists this ribosomal RNA (2263 nucleotides) under Limosilactobacillus fermentum. Its description in RNAcentral is "bacterial LSU rRNA". It matches the Rfam family "Bacterial large subunit ribosomal RNA", at positions 658 to 2925 of the family's 2925-position model. Lineage: Bacteria; Bacillati; Bacillota; Bacilli; Lactobacillales; Lactobacillaceae. The record is from RNAcentral.